Molecule: long non-coding RNA, 2829 nt
Organism: Carassius auratus (goldfish)
Lineage: Eukaryota; Metazoa; Chordata; Actinopteri; Cypriniformes; Cyprinidae
Source: Ensembl
AUGGGUCCUGCACACAGUAGAAAGAGGCUACGCUAUUCAAUUCGGCCGUCCACCGCCGAAAUUCGAUGGGGUUACACCGACAGUCGUCGGCCCCCAGCAGGCUCUGGUUAUGGAACAAGAAGUGAAUACCCUAUUAAGGAAGGAGGCCAUCGAGGUGGUCCCUCCUCUAGACAGGGAAUCCGGGUUCUACAGCCGGUAUUUCAUAGUUCCAAAGAAGGAUGGGGGGUUGCGUCCGAUCUUAGACCUACGUCAGUUAAACCUCUCAGUUAUGUCACUGAAGUUCAAAAUGCUUACUGUCAAACAGGUUGUAGCUCAAAUCAGAUCCGAGGACUGGUUUGUCACGAUAGAUCUCAAAGACGCAUACUUCCACAUAUCCAUCCUUCCACAACACAGGAAGUUUCUGAGGUUCGCUUUCGGGGGCAAAGCUUAUCAAUAUCGAGUACUUCCAUUCGGCCUUGCACUCUCACCCCGCACAUUCACGAAGUGUGUAGAUGCGGCUCUGGUACCCCUCCGUAUGCAGGGCAUCCGCAUUCUAAAUUAUAUCGACGAUUGGUUGAUCUUAGCUCAAUCAGAGCAGAUGGCGGUUCGACAUCGAGAUGUCGUUCUCGCACACAUGGGGGAGCUGGGUUUGAGACUGAAUGCCAAGAAGAGUGUACUUUCUCCAGUUCAGAGAACCACCUAUCUAGGCGUAGUAUGGGAUUCGACCACGAUGCAGGCACGUAUGUCUCCUGCUCGGAUCGAGUCGAUCCUCACAUCAGUCAAGAGAGUCAGAGAAGGCCAGUCACUCACUGUGAAGCAGUUUCAGAGACUGUUAGGGCUCAUGGCAGCUGCGUCCAACGUGAUACCUUUUGGUCUCCUGCACAUGAGGCCCCUUCAGUGGUGGCUCAAGACCAAGGGGUUUUCCCCGAGGGGAAAUCCUUUCCGAACUAUUCAGGUCACGCGGCGAUGCCUUCGUGCCUUAGACAUAUGGAAGAAACCUUGGUUCUUGAAUCAGGGCCCGGUGCUGGGAGCUCUUGGUCGCCGUGUAACGCUAGCGACAGAUGCGUCCCUCACCGGUUGGGGUGCGGUCAUGAGUGGCCACCCUGCCCGCGGUCUGUGGAGCGGUCGCCAUCUGACAUGGCACAUCAAUUGUCUAGAAAUGCUAGCAGUGUAUCGAGCCUUAAAAUAUUUCCUCCCAGACCUGAGAGGCUGUCAUGUGUUAGUGCGCACCGACAACACAGCGGUAGUCUCUUAUAUCAAUCACCAGGGGGGUCUGCGUUCACGCCCCUUGUACAAGCUGGUGUACCAGAUCCUCCUGUGGUCCCAGGGCAAACUCCUCUCGUUAAGAGCAGUGUAUAUUCCUGGGCGAUUGAAUGUGGGAGCAGACAUGCUGUCGAGACAGGGGCCAAGGCCCGGGGAAUGGAUGCUUCAUCCCGAGGUGGUGAAGCAGAUAUGGCAGAUAUUUGGCAAAGCUCAGGUGGACCUCUUCGCGACUCGAGAGACAUCGCAAUGUCCCCUCUGGUUCUCUCUAGUUCACCCAGCUCCACUGGGACUAGAUGCCAUGGCACAGACUUGGCCGAGGCUUCGUCUGUAUGCCUUUCCCCCCAUCGCUCUGCUCCCGGGAGUUCUGGCGAGAGUACGCCGGGACGGGGUCCGUCUGUUGUUAGUAGCCCCGUUCUGGCCGGGCCGAGUAUGGUUCGCAGAUCUGAUUUCUCUCCUCGACGGCUCUCCAUGGCAGAUUCCGAUCAGGACAGAUCUACUCUCUCAGGCGCAGGGCAAAAUAAUUCACCCUCGCCCGGAGUUGUGGAAGCUGUGGGUGUGGCCCCUGAGGGGGCACAUCUGUUAGCAGCUGGUCUCUCAACCGAGGUUGUUGAGACCCUACUCCAAUCCAGAGCUCCCUCUACGAGGAAACUGUACGCCCUGAAGUGGAAACUCUUCACUUCAUGGUGCAGAGAUCGCCACCUUGACCCUGUUAACUGCCCAGUUGGUACAGUUCUGGAGUUUUUACAAGCUAGGCUCUCUGCGGGGUUGACCCACUCCACCUUAAAGGUGUACGUGGCGGCCAUAGCUGCUUACCACGUCCCUUUCAGUGACCAGUCACUGGGUAGACACCCCCUAGUUACACGUUUCCUCCGAGGUGCACUGAGGCUGAGACCUCCAGUACGGUCCCGUAUUCCCCCAUGGGAUCUGGUUGUGGUGUUAGAGGCUCUCUGCAAAGCUCCAUUCGAGCCAAUUCAAGAAAUAUCAGACAGACAUCUGACACUUAAGACUGCCCUAUUAUUGGCUAUUACUUCUCUAAAGAGAGUUGGAGAUCUCCAGGCCCUCUCGGUGGCCCCUAAUUAUCUAGACUUUGCCCCUGGUAUGGCCAAAGCAUUUCUUUACCCUCGAGCGGGUUAUAUUCCUAAAGUUCCCUCUGUCACACCACAACCUGUCGUACUGCAGGCCUUCUGUCCUCCUCCCUUUCGGGAGCCAGACCAGGUGAAGCUAAAUUGUAUGUGUCCAGUGCGAGCACUGGACGCAUACGUCCACAGAGCUGCCCUGUGGAGAAAAUCCGACCAAUUGCUUGUAUGCUACGGUCCUACUAACAGGGGUUCUCCUGCCUCUAAGCAGACCCUCAGCCGUUGGAUAGUCGAGGCUAUCAACGAGUCAUAUGAGUCCUCUGGUCUUCCCCUUCCUUUGGGAGCCAAGGCUCACUCUACGCGGAGUAUGGCUGCCUCUAAGGCCUUCCUGGCAGGUGUGUCCCUCUUGGACAUCUGCAACGCUGCGGGGUGGUCCACGCCCUCUACAUUUGCCAGAUUUUACAAUCUCGAUAUGCGAGCCGCUCCUGGCUCUUCUGUCCUCUCGUCCUAA